Small nucleolar RNA from Sceloporus undulatus (fence lizard), 125 nucleotides. RefSeq annotates it as small nucleolar RNA SNORD22. NCBI's taxonomy places the organism in Eukaryota, Metazoa, Chordata, Lepidosauria, Squamata, Phrynosomatidae. The transcript has a single exon. The record is from RefSeq and is a predicted model, not a curated record.
UCCCAAUGAUGAUAAUCAUGUGGCUUACUAUCUGUUUUGGAGUUAGAACCUGCAAAGGUUGAACCCACUAACACCAGCAGAUGGAAAAGAGGAAACUUGCUCCAGAAGGAACAGUCUGAUGGGAU